ACUAGUAGUCCCGUCACUCGUACCAGUUGCCUUCAAUUUUGACUCUUUCCUGGUCCUGCUUUACGCCAAACCUUCCAGGUGACGCCGAAGGCAUCUGCACGCACGAUGAGUACCAACCACGUGUCCCACGCUACUCUCUUUCCUCGCUUCUUAAGCAGAUGGUGGUGGGUCCCAGUGGUACCUCUCGUCAGAAACCCACGCGCCUUCUCUCGUCUUCUCGCAGACCCGAGCGGCGCCAGGCUCUCCUCUUCUCCUCGCGAGCGGAUCCAGGUGCCCCCGUCCCGGCCCGCACCGGCCGCCGCCCCAGCCCGCCUCCUCGCGUGCCUAGGCUUGGCCCCCCUGCGUCCACCAUGUACGCCUCCGCGCGCCUUGGACGGGGCCAGAUCCGGCCGGCCGCCCCCGCCUGCCCCCAUCCCCAUGGCGCUGCUAUGCUUCGAGGCCAUGGCGUGCAUCCUGGGUACCAUGGCAUGGAAGCACUCCUCAAAAAUCAAUCGUACAUCACCGUGAAACAAAGAUGAAAUGAGACAACCAAACAAGCCACGGGCUGCUACAAAUGACUCUCAAUAAAGCUGAGAAAGCGAACAUACAUGGUAACUUGGGUUAAAUCAAAAUUAGCUCGACCACGUUUCUUUCUCCCACCUCCAUCCCCAACCAGGCUGCUUUCACCUCCAUUCUUGGCUUCAUCUGCAGAGAGUGAGAGAGGGAGAUGGAGGACAGGAGGAGUGUGCGAAGCCGGUGAGCGUGGAGGUGGCGUGCAGGGGCGGGUCGCGGCGGCACCUAGGCGGCCGGCUGCGGGAUCCACGGCCUCGCCAUGCUCGCCACCGACCACUCCGCCGGCACCGAGUCCAAGCUCGACGUCCUAGCCCAUCUGGAGCCCGAGGAAGAAGAUGAAGCAGCGAGAUUGAGGGCGCGCGCGGUCCAACCAGACGGCCGUGUUGUCGACCUGCUCCACGACGCGCUGGACAACCUGCAGGCCAAGAUCUACGGCAACGGCAAGGCCACGAGGGCACGCGAGCUUGUUUUAUCGCGCGGAGCAGUAACAGCAAGCCAGCAGGCCACAUACUUCUGCAUCUCCAAUUUCUUGAUUCUAUUGCCGUCCGUCUGGUUGGUUUCUCUUGAAUGUAUUUUGAUUUUGCUUAGUUCAACCAGUAGAGUUGCACGUCACUUGUUUGAUGAAAUGACAGGCGCAAGUUGUGUUCGUAAAUUGGAUCAGUUACUGCAGUUUAGAAGUGUAGAGUGUGUGUGUGUGAUUCGAUGCCUUUGAUUGAGCGUUAGAAAACGAGUUGGGCUGAUCUUAUCCUUUGAACU
Long non-coding RNA from Brachypodium distachyon (stiff brome), 1308 nucleotides. RefSeq lists it as uncharacterized. The transcript is spliced from 2 exons. The record is from RefSeq and is a predicted model, not a curated record. Lineage: Eukaryota; Viridiplantae; Streptophyta; Magnoliopsida; Poales; Poaceae.